AGAGUUUGAUUCUGGCUCAGGAUGAACGCUGGCGGCGUGCCUAAUACAUGCAAGUCGAACGCUUCACAUAUGUGAAGAGUGGCGAACGGGUGAGUAAUACAUAAGUAACCUGGCCUUUACAGGGGGAUAACUGUUGGAAACGAUAGCUAAGACCGCAUAGGUGUCAUAACCGCAUGGAGAUGAUAUGAAAUAUGCUACGGCAUAGGUAGAGGAUGGACUUAUGGCGCAUUAGCUAGUUGGAGGGGUAACGGCCCACCAAGGCGACGAUGCGUAGCCGACCUGAGAGGGUGACCGGCCACACUGGGACUGAGACACGGCCCAGACUCCUACGGGAGGCAGCAGUAGGGAAUUUUCGGCAAUGGGGGAAACCCUGACCGAGCAACGCCGCGUGAAGGAAGAAGUAAUUCGUUAUGUAAACUUCUGUCAUAGAGGAAGAACGGUGCGUGUAGGGAAUGACAUGCAAGUGACGGUACUCUAUAAGAAAGCCACGGCUAACUACGUGCCAGCAGCCGCGGUAAUACGUAGGUGGCGAGCGUUAUCCGGAAUUAUUGGGCGUAAAGAGGGAGCAGGCGGCACUAAGGGUCUGUGGUGAAAGAUCGAAGCUUAACUUCGGUAAGCCAUGGAAACCGUAGAGCUAGAGUGUGUGAGAGGAUCGUGGAAUUCCAUGUGUAGCGGUGAAAUGCGUAGAUAUAUGGAGGAACACCAGUGGCGAAGGCGACGAUCUGGCGCAUAACUGACGCUCAGUCCCGAAAGCGUGGGGAGCAAAUAGGAUUAGAUACCCUAGUAGUCCACGCCGUA
RNAcentral lists this ribosomal RNA (798 nucleotides) under uncultured bacterium. RNAcentral describes it as "bacterial SSU rRNA". It matches the Rfam family "Bacterial small subunit ribosomal RNA", at positions 8 to 804 of the family's 1533-position model. The record is from RNAcentral.